GGGUGCUUAAGGCUUUCUGUCUUGAGCAUUGGUGAGGGACAGAAAGUAAUAAGCCUCGGGCAAUGUUUCCAUUAACCCGAGGCUACCCUCAACAAAAUCCCUAGCAGGAUGAGGGUAGCCUCUUACUUCACGUAACGCAAGGAGUAAAAGGCAUG
Yokenella regensburgei ATCC 43003 is the source of this 155-nucleotide non-coding RNA. The record is from Rfam. Lineage: Bacteria; Pseudomonadati; Pseudomonadota; Gammaproteobacteria; Enterobacterales; Enterobacteriaceae.